GACCGACAUCAGCGAUUCGUUUUGCGAACCGUGGCCCACCGCGAGAUAGGAACACAUCCCCAGCUCGCGCAUCUGCUGUUCGCCAAUCACCCGGGUAAUCACGUUUUUACUGUAGCUGUCGGCCAACUGGCGCGCCUGUGAAGCGAGGUAGGCGGCGUUACAGAUGUUUGGCGGCAUGUUGCCCAGAUCUUUCGC
RNAcentral lists this antisense RNA (195 nucleotides) under Citrobacter rodentium ICC168. RNAcentral's name for it is "Yersinia sRNA 276". It matches the Rfam family "Yersinia sRNA 276". The record is from Rfam by way of RNAcentral. Lineage: Bacteria; Pseudomonadati; Pseudomonadota; Gammaproteobacteria; Enterobacterales; Enterobacteriaceae.